GGACCCGUGGGGCCAGGAGAAAGCCUGCAAUGGCCCUGAGGCCGGGACUGGGAUUCCACUGCUGGAUUGUCAGCCACUCAGAACACAGACUUUCCUUAUCAGAAUCAGUAGACUGAAUGCAGCCGAGUGCCCUCAGCAGUGUGGGUAGGCCUCACUCGAUUCACUGAAACUCCAGGGACAGAAGCAAAUGUUGUUUUAAAGAGAAUUCACUUUCUCUUCCUGACUGCCUACUACCUGGGCUGUUGGCGCUCUCCUGCCUUUGGACUCCGACAAGAACUGGAGCUCUCCCUUCGGCUCUCCUGGGUUUCUAGCAUGCUGACUGUAGAUCCGGGACUAAUUGGUCUCCAUGUUCAACCCACGGGUCUGCAAAAAGAUACGCCAUCAGUAGCUGAAUGGAAUGUCUCUGUCCAGGUGUUCGGAGAAAAACUCCAUCACAAACAGAAGCUAAACAGAUCGGAUAACAAGAGGGAUAACUUGAGCAAAAGAAUUUACAGAAAAAAACAAAGAAGACGUGUAUUUUUAUAGCCACCGUGGAAACCACUGAAGUCCCUGGUAAAGGUGAGGAGAAUCUGUAGGCACUCACCAAAAAGUUGGCAUAAUCUGGAUGUUUAAA
This 613-nucleotide long non-coding RNA is filed under the name Mustela putorius furo (domestic ferret). RNAcentral describes it as "lncRNA (ENSMPUG00000029433.1)". The record is from RNAcentral. Lineage: Eukaryota; Metazoa; Chordata; Mammalia; Carnivora; Mustelidae.